AACUUUUGGCAACGGAUCUCUUGGAUCUCGCAUCGAUGAAGAACGCAGCGAAAUGCGAUACGUAAUGUGAAUUGCAGAAUUCAGUGACUCAUCGAAUCUUUGAACGCACCUUGCGCCCCUUGGCAUUCCGAGGGGCACACCCGUUUGAGUGUCGUGAAAUCAUCAAAACCUUUUCCUUUGGGAAAAGGAUUUAGGAGUUGGAGGUUCCAUGCUCGCUUUCUUUUGAAAGCGAGCUCCUCUCAAAUGAAUCAGUGGGGUCCGCUUUGCCGAUCCUUGACGUGAUAAGAUGCUUCUACGUUUUGGAUUUGGCACUGUCCCUUGGACGCCUGCUCCUAACCGUCCCCAUGGAUAAUGAUGGUGCUCCGGUCGACCGCGGCUGGACCCACGAAAAGAAAACCUUGACCUCAAAUCGGGUGAGACUACCCGCUGAACUUAAGCAUAUCAAUAAGCGGAGG
This 455-nucleotide unclassified non-coding RNA is filed under the name uncultured Russula. RNAcentral describes it as "sequence contains ITS2". The stretch from base 1 to 154 matches the Rfam family "5.8S ribosomal RNA". Lineage: Eukaryota; Fungi; Basidiomycota; Agaricomycetes; Russulales; Russulaceae. The record is from RNAcentral.